This is a non-coding RNA of Chiloscyllium plagiosum (whitespotted bambooshark), 1002 nucleotides long. NCBI's taxonomy places the organism in Eukaryota, Metazoa, Chordata, Chondrichthyes, Orectolobiformes, Hemiscylliidae. The record is from RefSeq and is a predicted model, not a curated record.
UUGGUUUGGGAGGAGCCAGGGCAAAAACCUUUCUUUAAACUCGAGUAUGAUUCCGAGCGUCCAAAAGCAAAGCUCAGUUUUGCGAGAGCAAUUGAUCGAAACUGGUUAUUGUCAAUUUAAAUUGGGGGUGUGGCCAGAACUCGGCUUUAUUUUGGCGUGAGAUGCUUAUUUUAACACCAGAAAAGAUAGCGGAAACGCAGGGUUACGGCUUGACGUAGCUUGCGUCUGAAAUUCCCACAUCCUAUUUUGCGCCUAUUUUGUAAAAAUUUAGCCGAUUCCACGCUGGCUGAAACCAGCGCAAACCAAACGAUAAUAAACUCUUAAUAACCACCGAGCGACAGCGCCCUUUAUUCAUUUCCUCCUUUAGAAGGGCGCAGUAACCUUCAAGGCAGAUUGUAGCCUUUCGGAAAUCCCUUAGUAGAAAUGGCCAGUCAUUGAUUGUUCGCCAUGGGUAGGAUACUUUGAUAAAUCGCUGAAGGUUACAAUGGGAGCGGACUCCGGUCAAAGGUACGAUUCCUGCACUAAGUUAAAAAAACAUGUUCCCAGUGUCUAGAUAUGCGGAAGUGAAUUCUGCUGGUAAAUUACAGUACUGUCCAUCCUCUGAAUAAACUUGGACACACAAGGGGGGGGGGCAGGUGGUGGUGGAUGACACUCGGAGGCAGGAAUUUGAGCUGAAGUUGCCCCCAAUCUGGAUAUGUCUUUUUUUUUUCAAUUGCAAUACGUGUUGCCUUGGCCUCUUGGUGCGAUAUCUCUGGAAAGGACGUAACAUCCUCCUGGCGGCACUGAAUUGGCAAGACGUAUUUAAAGGAGCCCAGCGAAAGGUUCCCACUGUGGAGAUUUUUUCAGCCGAUGUAAAUAACGAUAAGGUUCCUGUUCCCAUCCGAUCCCACGGCAACCGAGCAGCAAGGUUGGCAUUUUGGAGUGAACAGGUAACACCGGGAUUAGAAAUGAAAAUGUUACCACGACUUCCUCCUUCAGGGUAAAGUGACAAUUGAGAAUCCC